CUGGUUUAGGUCAUAAUUUGUUGAUUAUAUGUGCCUUUAUGUUCUGACUGAUACGAGAUAUGAAUUUGUAUGCUCGGUUUUAUUGUGUUAUGCAAGGUGCUUCUAUCAAGUUAAAUGUGUGCAAUGUGAUAUGUUGUGUUUCCAUGAUGUAGAUUUACACAAUGUAGAAGUUAUUCACACGUUCUUUCCAGCUGAAUCUGCAUAGGUAGCCAUCUUAUAGAAUUUGGGUAUGCAUUCCACUCUUGUUCUUUUCCGAACAUAAUUCAUAUAUAAAAAACCAAUAUUGUCAGCUACGUGCCCUUAAUAUUCCUCUAUGCUCUUAGAAUUUUUUAUUGUCUUUAUGAUUUAUUAGGUAACAUAAUUCUAGGACAUAUGAUUGUUAUUCAACCUUAGGUCAAAUAAGUUCCUGGCCACCACGUUUGGUUUCCUCUGUUUGAUGCCUGAAAGCUGAAGGGGCAUUAAUUCUUCAUUUUCUGAAUACAAAACCUUAAGAAAUGGACUGGAGUGAGGGACAAGGAAUAUAAACUUGAUGUGCCUGCUGGGUAGGCAAGCAUGAAGGAAUUAGUGGUCUGUUGUCCUCCUUAGUCCUUUGAAUGGUUCAUUUUCUUUUGGCAUGCAAUGACAUGACUAAUGCCGACAUAUCUUCAUUGUGGGUUUUAUAUUUUGACUAAUCAUGUCAAGUUCCCUUCACUGGAGUAACUAUCGAAGGAAUUAACCAGUUCAUGGUUCCUAUAGCAAGAAAGAAGACAAAUCUGGAUUUCUUUAUGAAGGGGUGGAAGCUGCCCAUGACUUUGCUAUGAAGAAGGUGUUGAACGUGAGGGAGCAAAAUAUUCCAAACUACUCUGAUUCAAUAUUCGGAAAAUGUUUACAAUUUCACAUUCUUCAGCAUGAGCCCAGCAUUUUUUUGGAAGUGCAAACUGCGGUCUAGACACACUGCCUUGGAAGUUCUCACAAAACCAAUGCUUGUGAGAGAACUCUAACCUUGUGGGUUCUUGCUUAUUGUGAGGGAACUCUGAAUUUCUUGGUGGCUGAUGGUGCUUGGUCGCACUCUUGACUGGAAGACACACAAACAUUAGCUUGUUUCCCCGAAGUUGAGAGUGGUGCAGGCCUCGGUCUCCUACAACCCUGCUAUGACUCUGCGUUUACGUGUUUCCACUUUGUAAUCCGUCUGUAAUAGGUUGGCUUGGAAACAGAGGAUCACUACUAGAAGAAUCCGUGAUGCCGAACUUUCAACGCAGGCGAGGAGCAGCUGCCCAUGUCUGAAGCUGCUCAUCUUGCUGGAACCGGAACAGUUUGCAUCCCUCCAUUAUUCGCCAUGUACGCUGCGCACUCCUAGUCCUGGUUUUCAGCUAGCAGAGGAUCAGAUCGAACUUAAGGUAGCAGGGAGAUUUUCUAGUGAUUUUAACAUCUGUUAUCUGUUGAUGCUCAAUUUUAUUUAUUCUGGAUUUUAUGCCUUGUAAUGUUACAUACAGACAGAUUCAAAAGGCUUCAUCUGCAUGCGGAUUUGUUGGUGUAGUUUAUUUUAGCUCGGGUGACCAGCAGACAGGGAUGGUUUGGCCCCUGUAGUCAGUUACAGAGGUACACGGUCUUUCAUCUGUAUGCAUGUUCCCCGUUCUUUAUAUGAAGUGCUACUUUGCUUUUCUGAUUUGGAAA
This is a long non-coding RNA of Hordeum vulgare subsp. vulgare (domesticated barley), 1653 nucleotides long. RefSeq lists it as uncharacterized. NCBI's taxonomy places the organism in Eukaryota, Viridiplantae, Streptophyta, Magnoliopsida, Poales, Poaceae. The record is from RefSeq and is a predicted model, not a curated record. The transcript has 3 exons.